RNAcentral lists this ribosomal RNA (798 nucleotides) under Lachancea nothofagi CBS 11611. RNAcentral describes it as "LSU rRNA". The stretch from base 1 to 662 matches the Rfam family "Bacterial large subunit ribosomal RNA", at positions 2296 to 2925 of the family's 2925-position model. Lineage: Eukaryota; Fungi; Ascomycota; Saccharomycetes; Saccharomycetales; Saccharomycetaceae. The record is from RNAcentral.
AAUAAUAGAAUAAACUAUGUACAGUAAAAUUGUCUGGAAAACAAUAAUAAAAUUAAUCUUUUAUCCCCCUUUUUAAAGGGUAGUUGGUAAGAUUAAUUUAUAAUAAAAUGUAUUAUAUUAAUAUAAUGGUUUAACUGUGCAACAAUUGUAACACAAACAAGUGAAACAAGUACGUAAGUAUGGCAUAAUGAACAAAUAACACUGAUUGUAAUGGUUAUUGAUAACGAAUAAAAGUUACGCUAGGGAUAACAGGGUAAUAUAGCGAAAGAGUAGAUAUUGUAAGCUAUGUUUGCCACCUCGAUGUCGACUCUACCUAUCCUCUUGGUUGUAAGUGCUAAGAAGGGUUUGACUGUUCGUCAAUUAAAAGGUAACGUGAGUUGGGUUAAAUACGAUGUAAAUCAGUAUGGUUCCUAUCUACUAUAGGUAAUAUUAUCAACUUAAGUCUCAUUCUUAGUACGCAAGGAUCAGAAUGAAUUAACCUAUGGUGCAUCUAUUGAUUAUUAUAUAAUAUAUAUAUAUUUUUUAUAUAUAUAUUAUCUAUAUUAGUUUAUAUUUUAAUAAUAGUCAUAGUAGAUAAGCUAAGUUAAUAAAGAAUAAGUAUUGAAUGCAUAUCAAAUACGAAGUUGUCUUAACAUGAGAUAAUUAACUGAUUAUUUUAUACUAAAAUAUAUAUAGGUUUUAUUUUUAUUAUAUUUUUUACAAAUAUAUAUAUAACUAUUGGUUAUUUUAUUUUAUUUGUAGAAAAGAAAUGUAAAAUACUAAUUUAUCAGUUAUCUAUAUAAUAUCUAAUCUAUUAUU